CGGGACACGUGGUAUCCUGUCUGAAUAUGGGGGGACCAUCCUCCAAGGCUAAAUACUCCUGACUGACCGAUAGUGAACCAGUACCGUGAGGGAAAGGCGAAAAGAACCCCGGCGAGGGGAGUGAAAAAGAACCUGAAACCGUGUACGUACAAGCAGUGGGAGCACGCUUAGGCGUGUGACUGCGUACCUUUUGUAUAAUGGGUCAGCGACUUAUAUUCUGUAGCAAGGUUAACCGAAUAGGGGAGCCGAAGGGAAACCGAGUCUUAACUGGGCGUUAAGUUGCAGGGUAUAGACCCGAAACCCGGUGAUCUAGCCAUGGGCAGGUUGAAGGUUGGGUAACACUAACUGGAGGACCGAACCGACUAAUGUUGAAAAAUUAGCGGAUGACUUGUGGCUGGGGGUGAAAGGCCAAUCAAACCGGGAGAUAGCUGGUUCUCCCCGAAAGCUAUUUAGGUAGCGCCUCGUGAAUUCAUCUCCGGGGGUAGAGCACUGUUUCGGCAAGGGGGUCAUCCCGACUUACCAACCCGAUGCAAACUGCGAAUACCGGAGAAUGUUAUCACGGGAGACACACGGCGGGUGCUAACGUCCGUCGUGAAGAGGGAAACAACCCAGACCGCCAGCUAAGGUCCCAAAGUCAUGGUUAAGUGGGAAACGAUGUGGGAAGGCCCAGACAGCCAGGAUGUUGGCUUAGAAGCAGCCAUCAUUUAAAGAAAGCGUAAUAGCUCACUGGUCGAGUCGGCCUGCGCGGAAGAUGUAACGGGGCUAAACCAUGCACCGAAGCUGCGGCAGCGACACUAUGUGUUGUUGGGUAGGGGAGCGUUCUGUAAGCCUGUGAAGGUGUACUGUGAGGUAUGCUGGAGGUAUCAGAAGUGCGAAUGCUGACAUAAGUAACGAUAAAGCGGGUGAAAAGCCCGCUCGCCGGAAGACCAAGGGUUCCUGUCCAACGUUAAUCGGGGCAGGGUGAGUCGACCCCUAAGGCGAGGCCGAAAGGCGUAGUCGAUGGGAAACAGGUUAAUAUUCCUGUACUUGGUGUUACUGCGAAGGGGGGACGGAGAAGGCUAUGUUGGCCGGGCGACGGUUGUCCCGGUUUAAGCGUGUAGGCUGGUUUUCCAGGCAAAUCCGGAAAAUCAAGGCUGAGGCGUGAUGACGAGGCACUACGGUGCUGAAGCAACAAAUGCCCUGCUUCCAGGAAAAGCCUCUAAGCAUCAGGUAACAUCAAAUCGUACCCCAAACCGACACAGGUGGUCAGGUAGAGAAUACCAAGGCGCUUGAGAGAACUCGGGUGAAGGAACUAGGCAAAAUGGUGCCGUAACUUCGGGAGAAGGCACGCUGAUAUGUAGGUGAAGUCCCUCGCGGAUGGAGCUGAAAUCAGUCGAAGAUACCAGCUGGCUGCAACUGUUUAUUAAAAACACAGCACUGUGCAAACACGAAAGUGGACGUAUACGGUGUGACGCCUGCCCGGUGC
RNAcentral lists this ribosomal RNA (1465 nucleotides) under Escherichia coli. Its description in RNAcentral is "partial 23S ribosomal RNA". It matches the Rfam family "Bacterial large subunit ribosomal RNA", at positions 418 to 1869 of the family's 2925-position model. Lineage: Bacteria; Pseudomonadati; Pseudomonadota; Gammaproteobacteria; Enterobacterales; Enterobacteriaceae. The record is from RNAcentral.